Molecule: ribosomal RNA, 217 nt
Filed under: Asceles margaritatus margaritatus
Lineage: Eukaryota; Metazoa; Arthropoda; Insecta; Phasmatodea; Lonchodidae
Description: partial small subunit ribosomal RNA
Source: RNAcentral
UAGUAUGUAUAUCGCUGUUAUAAGUUUAUUUUAUUAGAAUUAAAAUUUACUUUAUUUUUUAUUUUAAUUUAUUUCAAGUCGAGGUGCAGCUUAUAAUUAAGAAUUUAAGUGAAUUACAAUAUUAUUUUAAUAUAACGAAUUUUAAUUUUAAAAUUUAAAUGAAGGUGGAUUUAAUAGUAAUUGNAAUAAUAAUGUUACUUUGAUUUUAGCUCUAUAA